AGAAAUUCAGAACAAUUCUAGAUUUUUUCCUUGGUUUGAAGACUUCAUAGGAGCUAUAGAUGGGACCCAUGUACGUGCAUCUGUUCCUCUUGAUAUGCAAGAGAGAUUUCGGGGAAGAAAGGAUAAGACAACACAAAAUGUUCUAGCAGCUGUUGAUUUUGAUCUAAAGUUCACAUAUGUCCUUGCUGGUUGGGAGGGUUCCGCUCACGAUUCAAGGGUUUUGGGUGAUGCACUUAAAAAGGGGUUUAACGUUCCCGAAGGGAAAUACUAUCUUGCCGACGCUGGGUAUGGGAUCGUAAAGGUUUUAUGCCUCCAUUUAGACGUGUUCGUUACCACUUGAAAGAAUAUGCCAACAACCCUCCUGAGAAUGAACGAGAAUUAUUCAAUCUGCGCCAUUCUUCACUCAGAAUGUGUAUAGAGAGGGCGUUUGGAGUUUUGAAAAAGAGAUUUCGUGUCUUGGAUGCAGAGCCAUUUUGGUCAUUUGAAACCCAAGUGGAUGUGGUUCUGGCUUGUUGUGUAAUACAUAACUACCUUAGGGGGUUGAUCCAAAUGAUGAAAUUACAAGAGAGGCGGAUUUAGAGAUUGCAUCACAAGAUACAAGAACAUCACUUUCUAGGAAGGAAGUGCGUGAAGAAACCAAAGAGUGUGUGAAAAAGCGUGAUGCCAUAGCAUUGGCUAUGUGGAAUUCAUACAAAAAGCGUCGAACUAAUUAAAAUUGUAAUUUUUUUAUUUCUUAAUUUAGUGAAGUUGUAUUAGUACUGAUUUUGCUCGUUCUUAUUAUUACAAAAGGCAACAUGAGUAUUGCUUAAUUUGGUGAA
Beta vulgaris subsp. vulgaris (sugar beet) is the source of this 818-nucleotide long non-coding RNA. RefSeq lists it as uncharacterized. The record is from RefSeq and is a predicted model, not a curated record. NCBI's taxonomy places the organism in Eukaryota, Viridiplantae, Streptophyta, Magnoliopsida, Caryophyllales, Amaranthaceae. The transcript is spliced from 2 exons.